This is a long non-coding RNA of Brassica napus (rape), 2015 nucleotides long. RefSeq lists it as uncharacterized. The transcript is spliced from 7 exons. Lineage: Eukaryota; Viridiplantae; Streptophyta; Magnoliopsida; Brassicales; Brassicaceae. The record is from RefSeq and is a predicted model, not a curated record.
CUGCUUAGGCUAUCCACGUCCUUUUUUAGAAUGGGGCAAAUGAUGACACGUGUAGAUCCGGUAGUGGAUAGGUGUUUGUCAUGUGUUCUCUUUCCCAUUAAUUUUCACUUUUAAUCUGACCAUUAACAUCUUCAUCCCACUCGCCGUACCAUUAAUUCGAGCUCAGCCUCUUCACAGGAACCGUCAACGUACUAGCAAUUUUUUUCUUCGUUUCUACUGCUUCAGAUUCUCUCAACUCCUAAUAUCAUCAAAAAUUUCAAUGAUUUGAUCUCUCUGGCAGAGAAAAAAGGAGUACGGGGAUCCAAAGGGAAGGAAAUCUAAACCUGACCAGCUCUUAUAGAAAGAGGAUGUAGCUCGCCUCCAACCUAUGAAGAUUUGGACAAUUCUGAGGCUGAGGACAGUUUCAAGGCAAUUUUUGUUUACCUAUCAUCUUGGUAAGAGACCGAUACCAAGAUCUUAUAAAUGUAAAGUACAGAACUUUCUCAGCUGUUGUGGGACCCUUAGUCAUCGUUGAAAAAGUGAAGGUUUUUGAAAAAAUUGGCACCGUUCAAUCCACUGGAGAGGUAUUUACUAUGAAAGUCUCUUCUUUUAAACACUUAUAAUGUUUUGUUUAACCUUCGAUUUUUCUGGUGAGUGUUGAUUGUGUUCAUUGUCUGAUCUCUAAAACAAAACAAAAAAGUUGUUGUUGUUUUGAGUUGUGUCGGUAAUACUUAUAGGAAGCUGAAUCAACCUCAGUGAAAGAACUUACCCUGAAGAAAUGAUUUUUUACCAUUGAUGUCAUGAACUUAUACUGUUCCUUGAAGAUAUGCAUGAGACCAUUCAUGAAGACAUCAAUAUCUGUAUAGUCGGGGAUACCAGCUGUGAUAAAUCCACAUUCCUAAGGCAUAUUGCCAAGGUCAGUGUAUACAUCUAGGAAGUCUUCUUCUGCAGCUGCGUUGACUGCAACUGUGGCUAAAUGUAAAGUACAGAACUAUCUCAGCUGAAACUGGCUGGUGCUUUGAUGCUUGAUAAUAGAUUAGGUUGCGUUCACGAGUUUGACAACCUGAAUAUCAAAAACCAGGCUGCUAUUCGAGAAGCCAUGGAGCAGCCACAAUAACCACCUUUCUGUGCGUAGAUCCGUCUACUCUCCAUGCUCGAGGAAUAUAACUUAUCAGGCAGUCAAGAGAGGAAGAACACCGAGACCUAUGGGUGUGUACUUAUCUUCAUUCCAUCAGAAAGUUUUGGCCAAUAUAAUAUUUUCAAGCUAUAGGUUUCUGCAUGUUAAAAGAUCUGAUGAAGCUCCAGGAAACAGCUCAUAGCAGAAUGCACCAAUCAAAGACUUUCCUGGAAUGUCAACUGGUGCAGGUGGUGCUGCAACCAACGAAGACUUUCCUUGAGAGCCAGAAUACACCAGAUUCUUAAACCUAACAAGAAAGCCAAUCAGCGCUAGAUAGUGGACCUAUACCAACCGCAUCUCAAUGGAUCCUUCAGCAGAGGACUUGAAAUUGUUGGCGUACAAGUUUAAGAGCAAUCUGUUAAUAAACCAGUAUAAUUUCAGAUUGCUUGGCAUCCAAGUUAAAAAGUUUUGUACUAUAUUUAGCGAACUUACCUUACGAAAAAAAAAUUCAAUCUGCUUCUGGAGAUUUCUAACUCCUGCUAAAACAGAGGAUCACGAUGGACAGUCCAAAAUAUUAACACCUAAACAAAACUUAGUAAGCCAAUGCUGCAUACGACGGCCUAGGUGAUACAACCAAUUAAACAUUAUGAAAAUAUAAAUAUAGUUUAUCUAUUUAAAAUAUUAAUUAUAUUUAGUUUUAAAAUUAUCAAAUAUUCUAAAAAUAUUACAUAUAAAUUAAACUCAAAAGAAUCAAACUACCGAAUACUUUUUUAUCCGAAGUAAUUAAAAAUAUAACCAAGAACAUUUUAAUCUAAAAUAUCUAAAAUUUAUCCAAAUUAUCUGAUAUUUUAAUUGAAAAAUACAAAAAAACUUUGAUUUACCGAAUUAUCCAAAAUUGCACCAAAAAAACAAACCAAAA